CCUACGGGAGGCAGCAGUGGGGAAUAUUGGACAAUGGGGGCAACCCUGAUCCAGCCAUGCCGCGUGAGUGAAGAAGGCCCUAGGGUUGUAAAGCUCUUUCAGUCGUGAAGAUGAUGACGGUAGCCCGAGAAGAAGCCCCGGCUAGCUCCGUGCCAGCAGCCGCGGUAAU
Molecule: ribosomal RNA, 169 nt
Filed under: uncultured Bartonella sp.
Lineage: Bacteria; Pseudomonadati; Pseudomonadota; Alphaproteobacteria; Hyphomicrobiales; Bartonellaceae
Description: partial 16S ribosomal RNA
Rfam family: Bacterial small subunit ribosomal RNA
Source: RNAcentral